GGGGUUCAGCCUUUGCUCCUGUUCUUUUAUCCCGCCCACACAGCGCGCUCGCCGGCGGCGGUGCGGGACGCGCGCCACCGCUCCGUCGCUCGCGUGGUCAACCCUCCUCAUGCUCACCACGCACUACUGCCGCUCACCCGGGACCUCACACCCCUCUCUCAAUAACGUCCAUCCCCUUCAGAUCCUGAACUAAGGCCUCCACAUCUAGCAAUUGGGAGCUCGAUUUUGCACUUGAUUGGAAUGAUUUGAAGUGGAUUAUAGAAGGGAGGUGGAUGGAAACGAGAAGAAGAGGAGAACGCACUCCUGCUCAUGGCGGCCAGAGGCGUUGUGGCCUAGCGCUCGAAGUGGGAAUGAGGCUAGGCACGGAAGACGAGCGCUUGCCUGGGCGACACGAAGACGUCAAGAUGCGCAAUGCGUGGGCGACGGCGAGGAUGGGGCAAGAUGCGAGUGAUGCUGAUGGACGAAGAGGCAGCGACUGGCUGGAUGACGAUGAGUACGGGGGAAAUCGAAUGAAUGGAUAGAGCGGAGAUUAAGCGGUGAAUUUUUUUAUUUCCAUGUAUGGGUCCCAUGUAAUAAACAUAUGACAUCAAACCACCCACAAAUAUCUUUUACUACUACACUUGCAAAGAGAGGACUACUAGGGAUAACACACCAACAUAUUGUGAAGCGAAGUCAAUGUAUUAGGAACAAGCAAAUAACAACAUGAGAGAAAGUAAGGACCCGUAACAACGCAAGGGCAUUUCUGCUAGUUAUUUAUAAUGCCCAAAACCUGAUUUUUGGUAAUGGGUUUGACACUUUUGAA
RNAcentral lists this long non-coding RNA (802 nucleotides) under Setaria viridis. RNAcentral describes it as "long non-coding RNA (SVIR_LNC005905)". Lineage: Eukaryota; Viridiplantae; Streptophyta; Magnoliopsida; Poales; Poaceae. The record is from RNAcentral.